UGUCCUACGGGGCGCAGCAGUGGGGGAUAUUGCACAAUGGGGGGAACCCUGAUGCAGCGACGCCGCGUGGGUGAGGAAGCGCCUCGGCGCGUAAAGCCCUGUCAGCAGGGAAGAAAAUGACGGUACCUGAAGAAGAAGCCCCGGCUAACUACGUGCCAGCAGCCGCGGUAAUACGUAGGGGGCAAGCGUUAUCCGGAUUUACUGGGUGUAAAGGGCGUGCAGCCGGGAAGACAAGUCAGAUGUGAAACCCCGCGGCUCAACCGCGGAACUGCAUUUGAAACUGUUUUUCUUGAGUACCGGAGAGG
This 305-nucleotide ribosomal RNA is filed under the name uncultured bacterium. Its description in RNAcentral is "bacterial SSU rRNA". It matches the Rfam family "Bacterial small subunit ribosomal RNA", at positions 335 to 657 of the family's 1533-position model. The record is from RNAcentral.